RNAcentral lists this unclassified non-coding RNA (198 nucleotides) under soil metagenome. RNAcentral's name for it is "partial contains 5.8S ribosomal RNA, internal transcribed spacer 2, and large subunit ribosomal RNA". The record is from RNAcentral.
AACGCACGAGACCUGCGGACCUGCGGAGGGAUCAUUAACGAUUUCGGUGUAAAAAACCGUUUUCUACCUAUGUCUACGCGUACCACUUGUUUCCUCGGGGGGCUUGCCCCCCGCUAGGACCCUUUAUCAAACCUUUUUGUAAUAGCAGUCAGCGUCUGAUACUACGUUAAUUAUUAAAACUUUUAACAAUGGAUCUCU